This 222-nucleotide unclassified non-coding RNA is filed under the name Hevea brasiliensis (rubber tree). Lineage: Eukaryota; Viridiplantae; Streptophyta; Magnoliopsida; Malpighiales; Euphorbiaceae. The record is from RNAcentral.
GAAGAUUUUUAGUUUAUGCUGGGAGGCAACUAGCGUCACACAAGGAUGGGAAGAUUCGUCUGAACAAAUCCUCAAAAGCAUGGAGUAAUCCAGAGUUAAUCUCAGUGUCACCUUUGGCAGUUGUGGGUGGACAAAAGACCUCCUUUUUAUUAAGGGGAAGGAAUUUGAAAAAUCCUGGCACCAGGAUUCAUUGCACGUCUAUGGGAGGCUACGUAUCUGAAG